AGAGUUUGAUCCUGGCUCAGGACGAACGCUGGCGGCGCGCCUAAAACAUGCAAGUCGAGCGAGAAGCAGGACUUCGGUCUUGUGGAGAGCGGCGAACGGGUGCGUAACACGUGAGCAACCUGCCCCGAAGACCGGGACAACUCGAGGAAACUCGGGCUAAUACCGGAUGUCCUCACCGGAUCGCAUGGUCUGGUGAAGAA
This 200-nucleotide ribosomal RNA is filed under the name uncultured bacterium. RNAcentral describes it as "partial 16S ribosomal RNA". It matches the Rfam family "Bacterial small subunit ribosomal RNA", at positions 8 to 205 of the family's 1533-position model. The record is from RNAcentral.